UGUACAGUCUGUGUCUCCUCUCUAUUUCCAAAUGAAGGCUCCAGAUCUUUCCUCCCCCAGUUUUUCCCUGGAACGUCCCUCCCUUCUCCCAACGUAGGGGACACUGAUAGCGUUUCAGUGUGUACAUGAAAACGGGAUGGGGGCAGGUCUAUUGUCUCUCAGAGCUAGAAGGGACCCAACAAGUCACCUAGCCCACUUGGAUGAGAUCCAAGCAGGAAUCACCAACGUGUGAUUCACUCCAUCUGGAAGCAGUUCAUCCCACUUUGGAAGAGUUUUAAUUGCUUUUCUUCUUGUAUCAAGGUCAGAUCUGCCUAUCUACAAUUUCUACGCCUUGCUCCUUUUUCUGCCCUCAGGAGCCAAGCAGAAAAAGCUUAAUACUGCUUCCAUAUGACAGUCUUUCAAAAUACUUGAAGACAACCCACAAGCCCUGUCCUACACCAUACCGCCAAGUCUUCUCUUCUCCAGUGGGAGAAAGGGGCUGGGGAUAGAGUUCCCCCCUCCUGCCAAAAGGAGAAACGAACAGAAGACCAGAAGGAAUCUUAGACAAGAAGGGCAAUUUUGUAAAAGGUUGUUAUUGUCAAUUGUGUCAGAGUCUUUUGUGACCCCCUGUAGGUUCUCUUGGCAAAAAUAUUGGAGUGGUUUGCCAUCUAAGUGUCUGAGGUCACAUUU
Vombatus ursinus (common wombat) is the source of this 669-nucleotide long non-coding RNA. RefSeq lists it as uncharacterized. The record is from RefSeq and is a predicted model, not a curated record. NCBI's taxonomy places the organism in Eukaryota, Metazoa, Chordata, Mammalia, Diprotodontia, Vombatidae. The transcript has 3 exons.